AACGAACGCUGGCGGCAGGCCUAACACAUGCAAGUCGAACGCCCGCAAGGGGAGUGGCAGACGGGUGAGUAACGCGUGGGAACGUGCCCUUCGGUUCGGAAUAACUCAGGGAAACUUGAGCUAAUACCGGAUACGUCCGUAAGGAGAAAGAUUUAUCGCCGAAGGAUCGGCCCGCGUCGGAUUAGCUAGUUGGUGAGGUAACGGCCCACCAAGGCGACGAUCCGUAGCUGGUCUGAGAGGAUGANCAGCCACACUGGGACUGAGACACGGCCCAGACUCCUACGGGAGGCAGCAGUGGGGAAUAUUGGACAAUGGGCGAAAGCCUGAUCCAGCCAUGCCGCGUGAGUGAAGAAGGCCUUAGGGUUGUAAAGCUCUUUCAGCGGGAAGAUAAUGACGGUACCCGCAGAAGAAGCCCCGGCUAACUUCGUGCCAGCCGCCGCGGUAAG
Molecule: ribosomal RNA, 446 nt
Filed under: uncultured bacterium
Lineage: Bacteria
Description: bacterial SSU rRNA
Rfam family: Bacterial small subunit ribosomal RNA
Source: RNAcentral